UGACCGCUGGCGGCAGGCCUACCACAUGCAAGUCGACCGGUAACAGGAAGAAGCUUGCUUCUUUGCUGACGAGUGGCGGACGGGUGAGUAAUGUCUGGGAAACUGCCUGAUGGAGGGGGAUAACUACUGGAAACGGUAGCUAAUACCGCAUAACGUCGCAAGAUCAAAAAGGGGGACCUUCGGGCCUCUUGCCAUCGGAUGUGCCCAGAUGGGAUUAGCUAGUAGGUGGGGUAACGGCUCGCCUAGGCGACGAUCCCUAGCUGGUCUGAGAGGAUGACCAGCCACACUGGAACUGAGACACGGUCCAGACUCCUACGGGAGGCAGCAGUGGGGAAUAUUGCACAAUGGGCGCAAGCCUGAUGCAGCCAUGCCGCGUGUAUGAAGAAGGCCUUCGGGUUGUAAAGUACUUUCAGCGGGGAGGAAGGGAGUAAAGUUAAUACCUUUGCUCAUUGACGUUACCCGCAGAAGAAGCACCGGCUAACUCCGUG
RNAcentral lists this ribosomal RNA (488 nucleotides) under uncultured bacterium. RNAcentral describes it as "partial 16S ribosomal RNA". It matches the Rfam family "Bacterial small subunit ribosomal RNA", at positions 30 to 507 of the family's 1533-position model. The record is from RNAcentral.